CGCCCCCACGGGUCGUUCUUCACUGAUUGGGCAGGAGCCGCAGUGCUGACUCUGUGCGAUUCUAUUGGCCCAUGUCGCAUGUCAAUCAACAUCCCCCGGUGAGGGGAAGGGGGUACGGCCGGCUAACGGUACCGCCCGAUUUUCGGAGAUUCGACCGAAACUUCGUAACAUGUUUCGUAACAUGCUGCUUCGACGUUUUCGGUUGGAUGUUAAACUUGUCACACAUCAGUGGUAAACAAAGAAAUGAACCAGUGAUAUCUGCGAGCGUCGUCCAGGGGUGACGUGAUACGAGAUGCGCCUUCAAGAAUGCCAGGGCCUUGAAACUGGAUGUGAAAGCUUUUAAUUCUCUGUGUUACUGCUAAAUGUUUAGGUUCUGUUCUGGCUGCUGGAAUUGCAUGUACCAGUGGAAAAAUGACCUGCUGUGUCAGAAACCACCUCCAAAAAGCUCUGAGGAAUUGAAUUCAGAGGCCUUGGAGGAAGCAUCAACAAUGCAGCCUCAUGCAUCCUGUCUACUCUGAUAACUGCAACCUGGAUGGGAAUGUUACAUUUAGGAAAUUUGAAAGCUCAAGCUGGUGAGCAUCUGACUGCGACAGCUCCACAGCCAGCUGAGGAAGAAAUGUCCCAAGACAUUGGUAGUUGGAGGGCUCGUGGACACAAAGCACCUGUGCAGCCCCAGGCAGGAGAGGACUCUAUUAUAAGUAAUCGGGGAAUUUUAUCCAAAUGAAGUGGGGAAAACAAGGGUAGCAGACAAGCAAUAGUCCUUUUUGCCCAGAGGCUACACAGUGUGGACCCAGUUGCCUCAAGUGUGCAAUCAUCUGGCUGCUGCUAUGGAGAGCUGGGCUCAGUACCCUCAUCUGCACUCCAUCACUUCAGCCAAUGGUCCUUCCUCCCAAGGAAACAGGUGGUGCCAGGAGGGUCCCAGCCAGAAUUGGAACAAUGCACAGGCCCUACAUAAGUCUUCUCUCAACACUCCAGUGGUGGCUGGACCCUCCACCUCCAUGCUGACAACCAUUGACACUUCCCUCUGACAAACAGAUGCUCAGUACGUCAGAACCAUCCAUAAUUAAAAGGCCUGGGAUUGCCUGACCAAACCUCCAAGGAAAUGGGCUUCACUGCCUGGCAGGUUCCUUCCCCAGCUGCCUAACCUGGGACAAUUAUGAAACUAUGGGAGGGAAAGAUGGGAAGAAAGACUUUUUGAAGGCACUUUGUAGCACAAGUGACAGCAUACCAUAUAUAAAGUACCAUGUAAGCAUAAAUAUUAUUAGUUUUACAAUAAUGUUUUGCUUCUCUCUCAAGCUCCAGCUAUGACAGUGCCAGGAUGAUGCCUGACUUCGUGUCCGUACAGAAUGGACCAUGGAUUGAUAGCUGUGUUAACAGCCUAUUGCAGCAUGUGGAAGCAAGAUAAACAAAGUAUUGCAUUGCAGUGACACUGUUGCCCUUUGUGUUCAGGCAUUCCUAUUCUGUUCGAGGUCUCUGAGUGUAAAGGUGUUGGUGCUGAAAGAAGUGGUCAGCCAUGAGUGGAACAGAAAGUCUACAACUCAGAAGGACCCAAUGCAUUAGAAUUGCCAGGGUUUAGGGGCUUACAGCCCUGUCCUUUGUGGACUGGCCACUAUGGAGCCACAGUGCUGACCAUUACCAACUCCCAACUGCAGUGUUAUGGACGUUCUGAUGAGAACCUGACCAUGGCCAAUCCCCUAGACUGGGCUUGGAGGCUCCACUUGACUUACUGUAUUGGGACACCUGACUAACAGGUUUCCGCAUGGGCUACUCCCGUAAGAAUUUUCUGCAUGCCUACUUGUUUGCUACAUAUACAGUGAGUUUGCCAUGUGAGAUGUAGGUACAUGGUACAAGUGUUGGAUUGAUGUAGCACACUGCCAUACAGCAAGAUGUAUGCCCAUUCAUUGAGAGCUGCUGACUAGCAAGGCAAGCUUGGUCAUGCAACUAUGCUAAAAGGCAUGACAAGGCAAGUCAGGGCAGAGAUGCUGUAAACUUACAGUUAUGUGCUAAAUAAGCAAGCAAGGAGCUUUGAGUUGCAGCUGGGUCCAAUCCAUUAGCUGGAUGCCUGUCCCUGAGCACAGUGUCCCUUGCAGCAGCUUUCAGUGCUAUUUUCCAUGUAUCCAGCAAUUAUGCCUCAACUUCCUCAUGUUUGGAGAGGUACCAUGACAAUCCUAUGGAGUUGGCAAAUCUUGGAUUCCAAUGUCCAUGGAUGUGGGAUGCAAGAGGUGAGUGUCUAUGCAUUGUACCCUGAUAUGCAAUUGUGUGGUGAGUAACAUGUAUGGAAAAUAAAAUGGAACAUACAAAGCAAUAAGAUAAUGACAUAAGGCUACAUAGAACAAAUUAAGUAGAACAAAUUAAGUAUAUAUGAAUGGAAGACAGUAAGAGUAGGUUAGUCAAGUCAAAUCACCUGACGUAAAGGUAAACAGGCUGAGGGCCAUUAUGACAUAAUGUAAUAGAUUAGGUGGUAUUAGAUGGCACUGCAUUAGGUGGAACCAGGUGUACUGGAACAAUGGGAGCACAGUGUGAUUAGCAUAGUACCAUCAUGUAAUAUGUAAUCUCAAAUAUUGAAGGCCAUGAUGACCUACUGUAAUAGAUUAGGUGUGGAGUGGGAGACCAUUGCGGCAGAAAAUAAUCAUAGUCUAAUAAUUUGAGAAAUAAUUGUAGCAGAGAUGAUUCAGCAGACGAAUAGCUUGGCGAGAUAACGCUAAUUAACACAGUUGGUUAUGCUGAUAACCCGAGAAAGAGCAUGAUAACUGAAAAGGUAUAAAAGAUGACAAGCCCCGAGGAUCGGGGGGCGAUCGGGAAACCAUUUUCUGAUUGUCACAGCUUUUGUUUGCAAAUAAAAGUUUAACUUCUUGAAGAAUUCUUCACGUCCCCUGGUCAUUCUCCACGACACAUGGAGUCUCUCUUCACAGCCAGUAGUGAACUGAAGUUGCCAGCUACUCGCCCUAACUUCCUUGUGAAGAACUUUCAACAUCUAAUUGCACAGCUGGGGGGGUAGGAUAGAUGUUUUCUUAUCAGCCUGUUCAGAUAUUAUUACAGAUCUCUGGAGCGAGAUGUGCAGUUAAUAAGGUCAUUAACAAGCAAUAAUCCCCAUAAUAGGCUACUCACCACUCUCUAGUGAGAAUUUUGCCUCAACACAUAGGAUUUAGUCAAAAGAUGCAGCAGGUUACCCUGACGUCAAGAUAAGCCUCAAUAGACUUUGCACAAACUCUAAAAUGCUUUCUUGAGUUUGCACUGCUACAGUAAAGAAAUUGUAUCAGAUCUAAUAGGAACUGCAGAUACUGGAAAAUCUGAGAUUACAAGGUGUA
Molecule: long non-coding RNA, 3308 nt
Organism: Stegostoma tigrinum
Lineage: Eukaryota; Metazoa; Chordata; Chondrichthyes; Orectolobiformes; Stegostomatidae
Exons: 3
Source: RefSeq, a predicted model, not a curated record